CUGGUGCACCAGUUGUCUCAUCAGAGGCAUCGCUGGGUAGCUACGUUCGGAUGGGAUAAGCGCUGAAAGCAUAUAAGCGCGAAACCCUUCCCAAGAUAAGGUUUCCCUUCCCCUUCGGGGGAGUAAAGGCUUCCCGUAGACUACGGGAUUGAUAGGUCACAGGUGUAAGUUCGGUAACGAAUUCAGCCGAGUGAUACUAAUCAGCCGUCAGGCUUUUCCUCA
This 222-nucleotide ribosomal RNA is filed under the name Fidelibacterota bacterium. Its description in RNAcentral is "partial 23S ribosomal RNA". It matches the Rfam family "Bacterial large subunit ribosomal RNA", at positions 2709 to 2925 of the family's 2925-position model. The record is from RNAcentral. Lineage: Bacteria; Pseudomonadati; Fidelibacterota.